CGCCGUUUUAUCAAAAACAUGUCUUUAAGAUAUUUUAAUUUAAAGUCUAAUCUGCCCAAUGAAAUUUGUUUAUUUGGCAAUUUUUAACUGUACUAAGGUAGCAUAAUAAUUUGUUUUUUAAUUAAAAACUAGAAUGAAUGAUUUAAUGAAAAAAAAACUUUUUUAAUAAAAUUAUUUUAAUUUUUUAUUUAAGUAAAAAAACUUAAAUUUAUUUAAAAGACGAUAAGACCCUAUAGAAUUUUAUUAAUUAAUAAUAAAUUUAAUAAAUUAUUUUUUAUAAAAAUUAAGUAAUUAAUUUUAUUGGGGU
This 307-nucleotide ribosomal RNA is filed under the name Opius caricivorae. RNAcentral describes it as "partial 16S ribosomal RNA". The record is from RNAcentral. Lineage: Eukaryota; Metazoa; Arthropoda; Insecta; Hymenoptera; Braconidae.